RNAcentral lists this transfer RNA (59 nucleotides) under Tetragnatha riveti. RNAcentral describes it as "tRNA-Pro". Lineage: Eukaryota; Metazoa; Arthropoda; Arachnida; Araneae; Tetragnathidae. RNAcentral also lists the same sequence under 1 other name. The record is from RNAcentral.
UUUAUAGUUUUUAAAAACAUCUACUUUGGAUGUAGAAGAAUCUAAAUUUUAAUAAAAAU